Molecule: ribosomal RNA, 800 nt
Filed under: Bacillus velezensis
Lineage: Bacteria; Bacillati; Bacillota; Bacilli; Caryophanales; Bacillaceae
Description: bacterial SSU rRNA
Rfam family: Bacterial small subunit ribosomal RNA
Source: RNAcentral
UUAUCGGAGAGUUUGAUCCUGGCUCAGGACGAACGCUGGCGGCGUGCCUAAUACAUGCAAGUCGAGCGGACAGAUGGGAGCUUGCUCCCUGAUGUUAGCGGCGGACGGGUGAGUAACACGUGGGUAACCUGCCUGUAAGACUGGGAUAACUCCGGGAAACCGGGGCUAAUACCGGAUGGUUGUCUGAACCGCAUGGUUCAGACAUAAAAGGUGGCUUCGGCUACCACUUACAGAUGGACCCGCGGCGCAUUAGCUAGUUGGUGAGGUAACGGCUCACCAAGGCGACGAUGCGUAGCCGACCUGAGAGGGUGAUCGGCCACACUGGGACUGAGACACGGCCCAGACUCCUACGGGAGGCAGCAGUAGGGAAUCUUCCGCAAUGGACGAAAGUCUGACGGAGCAACGCCGCGUGAGUGAUGAAGGUUUUCGGAUCGUAAAGCUCUGUUGUUAGGGAAGAACAAGUGCCGUUCAAAUAGGGCGGCACCUUGACGGUACCUAACCAGAAAGCCACGGCUAACUACGUGCCAGCAGCCGCGGUAAUACGUAGGUGGCAAGCGUUGUCCGGAAUUAUUGGGCGUAAAGGGCUCGCAGGCGGUUUCUUAAGUCUGAUGUGAAAGCCCCCGGCUCAACCGGGGAGGGUCAUUGGAAACUGGGGAACUUGAGUGCAGAAGAGGAGAGUGGAAUUCCACGUGUAGCGGUGAAAUGCGUAGAGAUGUGGAGGAACACCAGUGGCGAAGGCGACUCUCUGGUCUGUAACUGACGCUGAGGAGCGAAAGCGUGGGGAGCGAACAGGAUUAGAU